This is a long non-coding RNA of Harmonia axyridis, 618 nucleotides long. RefSeq lists it as uncharacterized. The transcript is spliced from 3 exons. Lineage: Eukaryota; Metazoa; Arthropoda; Insecta; Coleoptera; Coccinellidae. The record is from RefSeq and is a predicted model, not a curated record.
UAACUCAAAAGCAAAGAUUAGGUUAGAUUAGAUUAAUCUAAUCUUAUAUAGUUUAUAAAUAGCCUCCGUAAUAAUAUUUUAACCAAUUUUGUUUACAACUGACAGACCAGAUGUCGCUGGCGUCGUCUGGGUCGCUUCGUUUCCUAUCUUUCUCUCCCUAAUCUUUGGUUCUAGUUCUAGUCUAGUCAACUUUAGUGUUUCGUGUUGUCAAAGUUAAGCAACAAAUCCCAUAGGCGUAUCAUAGGGAAGGACAAGGUACCACUGCUAAUGAAUGUAGAACUCGUUUGGAGGAGGACUUAAAGAACAUGGAUGAAUGGUUUAUAAACAAUGACCUUGAAAUAAACGUCAAUAAAACAAAGCUGAAGAGUCCAUAUCAUUCUUAGGGGUGUACAUUGAUCAGAACCUAAAUUGGAGGUCACAAAUCGAACAUGUGGCCACAGGCCUAGCAAGAUAUGAGAAGCCUGUCGAGAACGAUUGGUAUUGAAGCGGCACUGACAGCAUACCAUGCCUAUGUGCAGUCCAGACUUAGGUAUGGAAUAAUCUUUUGGGCGUGUUAAUGUUACCCAUUAUGCAUUAUACAUUAUACUAACAAUCUGGAAUAAAUUACCUCAAUAUUUU